This 343-nucleotide long non-coding RNA is filed under the name Ananas comosus (pineapple). Its description in RNAcentral is "long non-coding RNA (ACOM_LNC013798)". The record is from RNAcentral. Lineage: Eukaryota; Viridiplantae; Streptophyta; Magnoliopsida; Poales; Bromeliaceae.
CUUAAAGAGGGUUCAAAUCAUAGUUAGUUAAUUCGUAUUUGACAAAAAUUCGGUACGGGUAUAAUUCGGAUAAAAUUCGUCUUUUAAUUUUUAAAUUCGUUGAAAAAUACGGCUAAAAAAGUGAUUUGGUAAUUAUUCGGAUACGUGAUUUAUACGGAUAUUAUACGUUUACCAAUUAAAAAUUCGGAAUCAAAAAUUUAGCUAUAUAAUAAAUAUAUAAUAAUUAAUAUACUAUAUAUAUUAUUUUUAUAUUUUUUUUAUAUAAAUUAAAUAUAUUCAAAGUUAUAAUAAAUAUAUAUUAAUAAUAUAUAAGAGUUAUGUAUUUAGAAAUAUUAAUAAAUAA